AAUAUUGCGCAAUGGAGGGAACUCUGACGCAGCGACGCCGCGUGAGCGUUGAAGGUCNNNGGAUCNUCAAGCUCUGUCCUUGGNGAANAAGGUCUUCGGACUUGACGGUACCUAAGGAGGAAGCCCUGGCUACCGACGUGUCAGCAGCCGCGGUAAUACGUAGGGGGCAAGCGUUGUCCGGAAUUAUUGGGGGGAAAGGGUGCUUAGGCGGCCUUUUAAGUCAGAUGUGAAAGCACACGGCUUAACCGUGGGACUGCAUUUGAAACUGGGGGGCUUGAGUAUCGGAGAGGGUAGUGGAAUUCCCAGUGUAGCGGUGGAAUGCGUAGAUAUUGGGAGGAACACCAGUGGCGAAGGCGACUACCUGGACGAAAACUGACGCUGAGGCACGAAAGCUAGGGGAGCAAACA
Molecule: ribosomal RNA, 407 nt
Filed under: uncultured bacterium
Lineage: Bacteria
Description: partial 16S ribosomal RNA
Rfam family: Bacterial small subunit ribosomal RNA
Source: RNAcentral